AUAAAUUCCCAUCUUGGAUAUGUCUUUAUCAGCAACAUGAGAACAGAUGAAUAAAAAUUCUCAGACUGGGAGAAAAAUAUGCUAAAGUGCUUCAUUCCCAGAAUAAUAUUCUUGUUAUUUUGUCAUAUGGGCAGCCUACCUGCUUACCUCCUGUCCACACAUCCUAAUAUGAUGCCAACCAGUUAGUAUGUCCUCACUUACUUGCUGACAUGGAUUCUUUGCUUGGCCAAAUUUUAGUCACGUCUUCUGAACAUUCUUCUAGGCCCAUCUGUGCACUUCCUUGUAAAAUACUGUUUUAACUAAGUCAGUUUAGCAACAAUCCCCAAUCUCAGUGUCUGAUCACCCUUGGUAGCUGAUCAUAUUACUUAUCCUCCCUUAUCCCCCAGGUGAUUUCUGAUCUUUCUGGUCUGUUUUUAGCAAGAUCCUGUUAGGUUGGUUUAGCCAGAAUUCCCCUUACCCCUGAUGUUUCUGCUUAGUAAUUUUCCAUCCUCUGACUACCUCAUCUGCUUCUUGGCUACAGAUUCUCACUUGCCCCUGCUGUAUUCGGAGUUGAGUUCAAUCUCCCUAGCCUAUUGUUAAGACUUAGUUGUAGUCAUUCCUGUAGCUACUGCAAUGAUCCUAAAUGAAGUCUUUUUUACUGUGCUUUAACAAGUAUCAUUGAAUAUUUUUUUUCUUUAACAUUACACAAAAAGGAAAACAGCCUGUUCAUUUCAUGGAAGGACGUUUUGGAAAAAUAGAUCCAGACCUACAUAGAAAGGUAUGACAGCUACCUUAAUUCAUCCAUCAAGACCUUUCUUCUUAAUUGUGAAUUACCAACUAUAGAUCAUCAGAGAAUUUAAGAAAAUCGACAAACUAAAUGCAAAGAAACAAGCUAAUGAAAUAGAACAAAUGACUAAAGGAAACAGAAGUAAUUCAAUGAACAUAAGAAAACUUAAAAAAUAUUCUAAUUACAUUCUCAGAAAGAUUUGAGUGCACACUACAUACAUUAGAAGAGAAAAAUAAAGGAAAAUCAGACUGCUAUGAAAACCAAGAUUCAUCAUUUCGCAUUUCUGUAACCAUGAAUGAGGGUGUUUGUUUUCUUAGAACUGUCCAUGUGGAACAUCCUGUCAGCCUCAGCUUUUUAACAAUCAGGAAGAAAGUCACACAACCACAUAUUUUCUGAACAUAAGCUGAACUUCUACUUCCAUGGAGUGAGUUACUUCACCUCAUUGGCAAAAGACAACAGAAGAGUCCAAAGUCUGAGGGGACUGGGCAAGCUUCUGUCACAUGCUUUCAGAAUGAAGACAAUCUGCAAGAAUUUUAAGUUGUGACCUCUACAGAGAAAAGAAUGAAAAGUAGCCAAAUCUCCACAUGAGAGAUUUUGGACUAUUUUGCAGUGUAAACCCCAUCUGAUUUAUAUGAAGUAAGCAGACUUUCUCUCCAAGAGUUCAAAAUAAAUUAAUUCUAAUGCUAAA
This 1454-nucleotide long non-coding RNA is filed under the name Homo sapiens (human). RNAcentral describes it as "HSALNT0335281". Lineage: Eukaryota; Metazoa; Chordata; Mammalia; Primates; Hominidae. The record is from RNAcentral.